This is an RNA transcript of Oncorhynchus masou masou (cherry salmon), 4575 nucleotides long. It is a transcript of the gene named zinc finger protein 624-like, with no coding region annotated. The transcript has 4 exons. The record is from RefSeq and is a predicted model, not a curated record. Lineage: Eukaryota; Metazoa; Chordata; Actinopteri; Salmoniformes; Salmonidae.
GUAAACGGAAGUGAACAGUGACCAUUAACAAUUUCCACAUUUGCGUUUUUAUUUUGAAGUUUAUUGACACCAUGGAAAUCAAAAUAUGACAAAUUUAACCGCACAUCAUCACAUACUUCGCCCAUAUAGCCUUUAAUUCUCGUUGGAUAUAGGACUUAGUUGAUAGAUGUUAUCUACCUAGCUGCUAACAAUGGCUAACUGUUUGGUUUUUCACACUCAAAUAGCCUCCAUUAUGGAGGUGCUUGCGAAUGCAGCCGUGGCAGACAUUUGUAAACUCGUAGACGACGACUAUGCAGUGUUUCGUUUGGAAAUUUCUCAAAGCCAGAAAGAAAACAAGACAUUGCGGAGGAAACUGCAGCUGCUGGAACUGAAGGUGGCACGGGAGCGCGUCCCCGCCAGUCAUCCCAGUAGUGUCAAGAUCCUCGACCGAAGCAUAGCAAGAGGACAUCUCACUGGAGGCCACAGGAGGGUUGUGAAGCCAGCAGGACACAAUACAUGGAGAGAUGACCAACCAAUCACUGUUGAUGAGAGUGGAACCUCAACCCAGCACGUCAUCAUGAUAGAGUCUGCAGAUGCAGAAGCUUCAGGUCCUGGGGUUAAGCAGGAGAGGUCUGAAGGAGAGGAUGACCCACAGCACAGUAGAGACAUCCAGACUGGAGCGCCUCCUGUAGCCACGGAGGACCCCACCACUGCCCCAGCACAGCCCAGGAGCCGACACAGCAUCACGGAGGUCAGUGGAAAGCCGAACACCGUCCUCAAGUCAGAGACCGAUACAAAGACUUUAACGGUGCUGGAGCGACUGGGCUGUACUCCUGCUCCCCGCUCAGAGUAUUUACUUCGCGGUAACCUGAGCCCGAGGACGGUUCUGUCCCAUCGGGACUCAGGUGACACGCUACAGACUGGCAAUGAUCUGUCCUGUUCAUAUGCUACAGAGACAGAGAUGAUACCUGGUGACAUGCCUGUGGGCUUUGAUACACAGACUAAUUCAAUGAGAGGGGACUGGAACCGGUACAGUAGUAGUGUAUACUCUGAAGGGUGCCAAGAUAAGAAAGGGGCGGGUCUGGUCGAAGAUGAGGUGACUGUGAAAGUGGAGGGUGACACUCCUCUGAUAUGGAAUCCAGACGAAACUCACUUAGGAGAACAACACUCGCAGGGCAACAACAUUGACUUCUUAGAUUACAGGAAAAGCUUAGAGACAAAUCUAAAUGUCGCGACCCACUCCCCUUUACACGUGUUCAGGGAAUGCGACCCAGUGUCCAUGUCGAUGGGGCCUUCUGAUUCACACGGCCACGUCCUUUUUGAUCAGGUAUUGAACUCAAACGACAGGGUUAGAGCCCAGGUACAGGGAGGGGGAGCAACAUCAGGCAAUAGUAAAGACAAACCGUUCCUCUGCAUGUUCUGUAACAAAGGCUUCAGCUGCCUCCAGAAGGUGGAGAUUCACCAGAGGGUCCACACAGGGGAGAAACCCUUCAACUGUACCCAGUGUCAUAUGCGCUUCGCUGAGGCUGGCAACCUGAAGAGACACCAGAGGGUCCACACAGGGGAGAAACCGUUCGUCUGCCACCUUUGCCAGGCCAGUUUCUCCCACUCGUUCAACCUGAAAAGGCAUCAGAGGGUCCACACAGGGGAGAACUCUACAGCGGCCCCCAGUGUGAGAAGAGAUUCUCCCACCAGCACCAGCAGAAAAUGCACCUGAAGGUCCACACGGGGGAAAGAGUUUCUCGGAGAGGAGCUACCUCAGGAUACACCUGCAGAACAACCACUCAACUGGAUAGCUGCUGACAUUUAGAUCAAACCCUGCAUGAAAGACAAAGUUGAAUUUUCAUUGGUGUCAGCAGAAAAUAUCCACAGAUGCAUCUGGAAUAACGAGAGUGACAGAUUUCAAUAUUUCUGGGUAGAAUAUUGCAUCCAGACAUUGUGUGAUAUAUAUGCGUGGGGAGAACAAGUAUUUGAUACACUGCCGAUGUUGCAAGUUUUCCUACUUACAAAGCAUGUAGAGGUCUGUCAUUUUUAUCAUAUCAUCACUUCAACUGUGAGAGGCGGAAUCUAAAAUCAAAAACCCAGAAAAUCACAUUGUAUGAUUUUUAAGUAAUGAAUUUGCAUUUUAUUGUAUCAAAUACUUAUGUCAUGCAUCAGAAAAGCAGAACUUAAUAUCUGGUACAGAAACCUUUGUUUGCAAUUACAGAGAUCAUACAUUUCCUGUAGUUCUUGACCAGGUUUGCACACACUGCAGCAGGGAUUUUGUCCCACUCCUCCAUACAGACCUUCUCCAGAUCCUUCAGGUUUUGGGGCUGUCGCUGGGCAAUACGGACUUUCAGCUCCCUCCAAAGAUUUUCUAUUGGGUUCAGGUCUGGAGACUGGCUGGGCCACUCCAGGACCUUGAGAUGCUUCUUACGGAGCCACUCCUUAGUUGCCCUGGCUGUAUGUUUUGGGUCGUUGUCAUGCUGGAUUACCCAGCCACGACCCAUCUUCAAUGCUUCACGGUUGGGAUGGUGUUCUUGGUGUUGUACUCAUCCUUCUUCUUCCUCCAAACACGGCGAGUGGAGGUUAGACCAAAAAGCUCUAUUUUUGUCUCAUCAGACAACAUGGCCUUCUCCCAUUCCUCCUCUGGAUCAUCCAGAGGGUCAUUGGCAAACUUCAGAUGGGCCUGGACAUGCGCUGGCUUGAGCAGGGGGACAUUGUGUGCGCUGCAGGAUUUUAAUCCAUGACGGCGUAGUGUGUUACUAAUGCUUUUCUUUGAGACUGUGGUCCCAGCUCUCUUCAGGUCAUUGACCAGGUCCUGCCGUGUAGUUCUGAGCUGAUCCCUCACCUUCCUCAUGAUCAUUGAUGCCCCACGAGGUGAGAUCUUGCCUAUUGUCCUGUAGCCCAUUCCAGCCUUGUGCAGGUCUACAAUUUUAUCCCUGAUGUUCUUACAUAGCUCUCUGGUCUUGGCCAUUGUGGAGAGGUUGGAGUGUGUUUUGAUUGAGUGUGUGGAGAGGUGUAUUUUAUACAGGUAACGAGUUCAAACAGGUGUAGUUAAUACAGGUAAUGAGUGGAGAACAGGAGGGCUUCUUAAAGAAAAACUAACAGGUCUGUGAGAACCGAAAUACUUACUGGUUGGUAGGUGAUCAAAUACUUAUGCCAUGCAAUAAAAUGCAAAUUAAUGACUUAAAAAUCAUACAAUGUGAUUUUCUGUUUUUUUUGUUUUAGAUUCCGUCUCUCACAGUUGAAGUGUACCUAUGAUAAAAAUGACAGACCUCUACAUGCUUUGUGUACCUGUGGAUGUAUUUCAAGGCCUACCUUCAAACUCAGUGGCUCUUUCAUGGGAAAAUCAAAAAGAAAUCAGCCAAGACCUCAGGAAAAAAAAUUGUAGACCUCCACAAGUCUGGUUCAUCCUUGGGAGCAAUUUCCAAAUGCCUGAAGGUACCAGGUUCAUCUGUACAAACAAUAGUACGCAAGUAUAAACACCAUGGGACCAAGCAGCCAUCAUACUGCUCAGGAAGGAGACGCGUUCUGUCUCCUAAAAGUGCAAAUCAAUCGCAGAACAAUAGCAAAGGACCUUGUGAAGAUGCUGGAGGAAACGGGUACAAAAGUAUCUAUAUCCAGAGUAAAAGGAGUCCUAUAUCAACAUAGCCUGAAAGGCCGCUCGGCAAGGAAGAAGCCACAAACCUGACUCAGUUAUACCAGCUCUGUCAAGAGGAAUAGGCCUCAAUUCACCCAACUUAUUGUGGGAAGCUUGUGGAAGGCUACCCAAAAUGUUUGACCCAAGAUAAACAAUUUAAAGGCAAUGCUACCAAAUACUAAUUAAGUGUAUGUAAACUUCUGACCCACUGGGAAUGUGAUGAAAGAAAUAAAAGCUGAAAUAAAUCAUUCUCUCUAGUAUUAUUCUGACAUUUCACAUUCUUAAAAUAAAGUGGUGAUCCUAACUGACCUAAGACAAUGAAUUUUGUACUAGGAUUAAAUGUCAGGAAUUGUGAAAAACAGAGUUUAAAUGUAUUUGGCUCAGGUGUAUGUAAACUUCAGACUUCAACUGUAUAUAUACUAAGUGUACAAAACAUUAGAAUCACCUGCUCUUUCCAUGACAUAGACUGACCAGGUGAAAGCUACGAUCCCUUGUUAAUAUAAUUUGUUAAAUCCACUUCAAUCAGUGUAUAUGACGGGGAGGAGACAGGUUAAAGAAGGAUUUUUAAGCCUUGAGACAAUUGAGACAUGGAUUGUGUAUGUGUGCCAUUCAGAGGGUGAAUGGGCAAGACAAUAGAUUUAAAUGCCUUUGAACGGGGUAUGGUAGUAGGUGCCAGGCGCACAGGUUUGAGUGUGUCAAGAACUGCAACACUGCUGGGGUUUUUAUGCUCAUGUAUCAAGAAUGGUCCACCACCCAAAGGACAUCCAGCCAACUUGACACAACUUUUGGGAAGCCUUGGGGUCAACAUGGACCAGUAUCCCUGUGGCACUCUUUCAACACCUUGUGGAGUCCAUGCCCUGACAGAUUGAGGCUGUUCCAGUUUAAGUUGUAUUUUUUGUUGUUGACACAUGUAUGUGUGGUUUUCAUGUGGUGUAUUUUAAAACUUUGUUUAAUAAAUACAAAAUGGGAGUAUU